GACGAACGCUGGCGGCGUGCCUAAUACAUGCAAGUUGAGCGCUGAAGGUUGGUACUUGUACCAACUGGAUGAGCAGCGAACGGGUGAGUAACGCGUGGGGAAUCUGCCUUUGAGCGGGGGACAACAUUUGGAAACGAAUGCUAAUACCGCAUAAAAACUUUAAACACAAGUUUUAAGUUUGAAAGAUGCAAUUGCAUCACUCAAAGAUGAUCCCGCGUUGUAUUAGCUAGUUGGUGAGGUAAAGGCUCACCAAGGCGAUGAUACAUAGCCGACCUGAGAGGGUGAUCGGCCACAUUGGGACUGAGACACGGCCCAAACUCCUACGGGUGGCAGCAGUAGGGAAUCUUCGGCAAUGGACGAAAGUCUGACCGAGCAACGCCGCGUGAGUGAAGAAGGUUUUCGGAUCGUAAAACUCUGUUGGUAGAGAAGAACGUUGGUGAGAGUGGAAAGCUCAUCAAGUGACGGUAACUACCCAGAAAGGGACGGCUAACUACGUG
RNAcentral lists this ribosomal RNA (497 nucleotides) under uncultured bacterium. RNAcentral describes it as "partial 16S ribosomal RNA". It matches the Rfam family "Bacterial small subunit ribosomal RNA", at positions 28 to 507 of the family's 1533-position model. The record is from RNAcentral.